Molecule: long non-coding RNA, 2148 nt
Organism: Pogoniulus pusillus (Red-fronted tinkerbird)
Lineage: Eukaryota; Metazoa; Chordata; Aves; Piciformes; Lybiidae
Exons: 2
Source: RefSeq, a predicted model, not a curated record
GGCCCAUUGUGGGCCAAGGGAUCCUCCACCUGGCAUCACUGUCUUUUGCAGAUCCUGAAAGCACCAUAUCUAUCCAGAGAGAGGAAAAAAGGAGAGCAAGGACAAGGAGUCAUCUGUGAUGUUUAUAUAUGCACAUAUGUGAGCGUAUGCAGACCUAUAUAUUUAUGGAUAACUUCUGUGAAACUAAGUUGGCACAUGAAAGCUUAAACUGAAGUCAAAUGAAGCACCUGCAAAGUCCACUCAUUUGCUUGUGAAGAAGGCCUCUCUUUUUCGGUGUGCACAAUGUGCACCUUGCAAACAGAUGUCCAGUGACCUAAGUCCUCAUUAGUGCGGAAGUGUUUUGUGUCAGCCAUUAAUCUCAAAACUAAAACUGCUUCUAGAAGCAGAAGCCACAGUGUGCCUCCUCUAGUUGUCAGUAUGCUGCAUUUGCUUAGCUUGUAAAAGCUAUGUUAUGGAUCACUGUGGAUGAGGCUCUUCCCACACUGACAUGUUAAUAACAGUCUCUGCCUCUCAAAUGAACUUCUAUUUGGUCUUUACUCAGUCAAAACAUUUUAUCAACAUCUUUUUCCUUUGGCAAUUCAGACUUUAGGCCAAUUCCACUUAUACAUACCCGUGGGUAACUUUACUGGCAUAAGUAAUUCAAUGGAUUUAAAUGGAGAUAUUCAAGUAUUCAACCUCUACAGCACAGAGACAGGAUUUGUGGGAUUUUGUACUAAUACCAAUACCUUUUAAUUUCUGCUAAACAAUUCUAAAGAUAUGAAUAGCCAUGAACCAAGUGCAUCUACUCUGAGAACUGUCAAGAAACAGCACAUCAACAGCCUCCUCGUUUAAGUCCAUGUUACUGCUUUUUUUCUUCUUUUACCCAGAAAACCAUAAGAAAAUAUACUUACAUAGGAAUAUAUGACUACAUGGACGUUACUUGCUUUGCACUUCUUCUAGCCUUAUUUAGGAUCUGAAAUACUAUAUGAGAAAGCACUUGACAAUUUGGCUCUUGGAAAAUUUCCACCCACCAUCACUGGUUUCUAGUUUCAGAAUUCCUCUCCAGCAACACAGUUCUUCAGCACACUAACCACUCUGAAUAGAAAGGAGACACAAGCAGUGAAAAACUGCUACAAAAAGUUUAAAUAUUUUCCAAGAUUUUAAAAGCUCUAUUGAUGUUCACAGAUCUGAGGGGUUGGGAAAGAGCUACAUGGGCUUUGAUAUGCUUGGCUGGCUUAAGAUCCACUACAUGAACCAGGCCUCAAAAUGUAACCUGCAGCAAUGUCCUGACUAUAUGUCAGAUGAGAUGAAAAAUGUAACACCUCCAGGAAGUCUGUAAAAACAAGAAUAAUUGCAUCAGUGGGCUUAUGUCUCUUGUUAUCUAUAACCUGGGGAUCAAGACUGUGAAGAUCCACCUGUCACACAGUGUGAUCCUAGGAACUGUGAUCUAAAAGAUGGAAGCAACUGCGAAGAGAAUGAAAGGAAAAUGAGCUAACCCCUUGCCUUGCUCUAACAGUCUUUUAGUCAAAAGGUGGCUUCUUCUGCCAUUCUGCAGGAAAAAAAAAGACAGCAAAGAGUAUGGAACAUUUGGAGAUUGCACUGAUGGUCCCCAAGUUAUGUUCUUCUAAAAUUAAGUAUAAAAACCAAAUUAAGAAUGCUGGAUAUUCCUAUCCUAUCAACUGACCAACAAAUACACAAGGAUGUAUUAUAUUGUAAUAAUUAUUCACCUUGAACAGUUUCCUCUCUCAUAAAGGGAAAUUUUAAAGGUCAGACACACAUUAAUUGGAGAAUUAUCAGUACAACAUUGUUCUCCUUGAGAGGACUAACACAGUGCUGCUGAUAAAUUUGUUUCUGUAACUACAAUAAGCAGCCUCUUUUAAAACUAUACUGAUAUAAAGCACACAGUUGUAACAAUCAAUUCUAGAAAAUUAAAUCUGUGAGCCUUGAAAGCACCUCAUAAUUCCACAUUCUCUGAAGAGGAAAUAAUGUGAAAAGACUAGCAGGAGUUUUUGUUUCAACCUAGCAUGACUCUUCUUUUUUUUUCCUAAGUACUUACUGGUUUGUAGAAACACUUUUCCAGCAAAAAAUGACAGUCCAGAAAAUGAGAACCUGUCUAUACUUUCAACAAUUUGCAUCACUGCAACCUUUUGCACAUCACUGCACAAAUCA